GAUAGCCAAAAAUGCGGAUUGGGUCUAAAUUUGGUUCAACAAUACGGACUUCACCCACCAGAGGAUCAUAAAUUCCUCCCCAUUGGUUGGCUUUGAGGACCAGAAGGGCUGCACCAAUGCCUAAUAGGACUAAGUGAAUCCCUAAAAUACUGGUCAUUUUUUUGCCAUCUUGCCA
RNAcentral lists this antisense RNA (175 nucleotides) under Crocosphaera watsonii WH 8501. Its description in RNAcentral is "Antisense RNA which regulates isiA expression". It matches the Rfam family "Antisense RNA which regulates isiA expression". Lineage: Bacteria; Bacillati; Cyanobacteriota; Cyanophyceae; Chroococcales; Aphanothecaceae. The record is from Rfam by way of RNAcentral.